This is a long non-coding RNA of Haliotis rufescens (red abalone), 930 nucleotides long. RefSeq lists it as uncharacterized. The record is from RefSeq and is a predicted model, not a curated record. The transcript has 2 exons. Lineage: Eukaryota; Metazoa; Mollusca; Gastropoda; Lepetellida; Haliotidae.
UUCCAGACCCAAUUACUGUGGGGGUUGCGAUGCUGAAUGGUUCGUCGGCAACACUCGGGUGUUCACCUGUGGAGCAUUAUAACCACGGGUAAACUGAAGCUCGGAGGAAAUCAAUGUUAUCCAUUCCAACAUCUUGUUUCCCUCAAACUGGUUUGUUCCCUAGUCUGUAACAGAAAUACAAUCUGGUUAUCAUUUGACAUUCCUGAGCUAUUCCUUCAGACAGAAUAACAACCGAAAACAUUCUUUGUCACAAUCCUCGGCAUUUUGCAACAUUAUAAUCGGGGGGCGGCGCGGUCGGGUAGCCUAUUGGUUAAAGCGUUCGCUCGUCACGCCGAAGACCCGGGUUCGAUUCCCGACAUGGGUACAAUGUGUGAGGCCCAUUUCUGGUGUCCUCCGCCGUGAUGUUGCUGGAAUAUUGCUAAAAGCGGCGUAAAACCAUACUCACUCACUCAACAUUAUAAUCCAUUCUCGUGGUUUCACCAAACCUGUGCUCGUGGGUUUUACCAAAUACGUUCUCUUAGGUUUUACUAAAAAAGGUUCUCUUGGGUUUUACGAAACCCUGUGUUAGUGGGUUUCACAAAAACCUGUGCUCGCCGUCUUUAAACCCAGGAUGUAUUCGAGUGGACAAUGUGUCUGUGCAGUGACUUUCAGUGAGCUUACUGGUAAUUCUUAUAACCCAUGCAUUUCGUCAUGUAUAAGAAGUAGGUCUUUUGUUUGGUUUGUCCUAUUUACUCUGUACAAAACACGAUUUUCAAACAAUAUGUGUAAUCAAAUGUUUUUUUAAAAAAUAAUUAUAUAUCAACCAAGCAGCACGCUUGGUGUACUUGUACGUGUAAACUGUAAGUGUUCGCCUCUGUGAAUGUACAUUUUCAUUUGUUUUAUACACUCAUGUAUCUUUUAACGAAAUAAACAAGUCUAUGUUUCUUUGAA